GAUGUAGCUCAGUGGUAAAGCACUAGCCUAGUAGGUCUGAGGUCCUGGGUUCAAUCCCCAGUGCAUCA
Molecule: transfer RNA, 68 nt
Filed under: Marmota marmota marmota (Alpine marmot)
Lineage: Eukaryota; Metazoa; Chordata; Mammalia; Rodentia; Sciuridae
Also listed under: 1 other name
Rfam family: tRNA
About the family: Transfer RNA (tRNA) molecules are approximately 80 nucleotides in length. Their secondary structure includes four short double-helical elements and three loops (D, anti-codon, and T loops). Further hydrogen bonds mediate the characteristic L-shaped molecular structure. tRNAs have two regions of fundamental functional importance: the anti-codon, which is responsible for specific mRNA codon recognition, and the 3' end, to which the tRNAs corresponding amino acid is attached (by aminoacyl-tRNA synthetases). tRNAs cope with the degeneracy of the genetic code in two manners: having more than one tRNA (with a specific anti-codon) for a particular amino acid; and 'wobble' base-pairing, i.e. permitting non-standard base-pairing at the 3rd anti-codon position.
Source: Rfam by way of RNAcentral